Long non-coding RNA from Oncorhynchus tshawytscha (Chinook salmon), 1852 nucleotides. The record is from Ensembl. Lineage: Eukaryota; Metazoa; Chordata; Actinopteri; Salmoniformes; Salmonidae.
AUUGUAUUUCAAUAAAUUUGGUAAAAUGUUUAAAACAUAAAACACAUUUCCACUUUGUCAUUAUUAUAUUGUGAUGUCAUUAUGGGGUAUUGUGAUGUCAUUAUUAUAUUGUGAUGUCAUUAUUAUAUUGUGAUGUCAUUGAGGGGUUAUUGUGAUGUCAUUAUGGGGUAUUGUGAUGUCAUUAUGGGGUAUUGUGAUAUCAUUAUGGGGUAUUGUGAUGUCAUUAUGGGAUAUUGUGAUGCCAUUAUGGGAUAUUGUGAUGUCAUUAUGGGGUACUGUGAUAUCAUUAUGGGAUAUUGUGAUGUCAUUAUGGGGUACUGUGAUAUCAUUAUGGGAUAUUGUGAUGUCAUUAUGGGGUACUGUGAUAUCAUUAUGGGAUAUUGUGAUGUCAUUAUGGGGUACUGUGAUAUCAUUAUGGGAUAUUGUGAUAUCAUUAUGGGGUACUGUGAUAUCAUUAUGGGAUAUUGUGAUGUCAUUAUGGGGUACUGUGAUAUCAUUAUGGGAUAUUGUGAUAUCAUUAUGGGAUAUUGUGAUGUCAUUGUGGGGUACUGUGAUAUCAUUAUGGGAUAUUGUGAUGUCAUUAUGGGGUAUUGUGAUGUCAUUAUGGGGUAUUGUGAUGUCAUUAUGGGGUAUUGUGAUGUCAUUAUGGGGUAUUGUGAUAACAUUAUGGGGUAUUGUGAUGUCAUUGUGGGGUACUGUGAUAUCAUUAUGGGGUAUUGUGAUAUCAUUGUGGGGUACUGUGAUGUCAUUAUGGGGUAUUGUGUGUAGAUGGGUGAGAAUUUAUUUUAAUUGAAUCCACCUUAAAUGCAGGGUGUAACACAACAACGUGAUUUCUGAAGCCAAUGUAGUCAACUAUAGUCAUUUUCUAUACCACAAUAUCUAUAGUCAGUUACAGGAGAUUUCUAUAUCACAAUAUCUAUAGAGACAUGCUUUAUCAUACACAUGAGCAGUCUCUAUAGCAACAACAGAUAUUCAUGAGGCUGGAAUAGAAAGAAUUAGGUUGAAUUCAUGAUUUUAAUUUCCAUGGACCCCGACCUCAGUGAUGAGCAUCAAUUAAUGAGCCAACGUUCCCAACGGUAGACUAAUGUGUCCAUUAAAGGAGGUCUUUGACCAGGGAGUCCGUUCUACAGCAUCUAACUCUCAGACAAAUGUGUCCAUUAAAGGAGGUCUUUGACCAGGGAGUCCGUUCUACAGCAUCUAACUCUCAGACAAAUGUGUCCAUUAAAGGAGGUCUUUGACCAGAAGUCCGUUCUACAGAAUCUAACUCUCAGACAAAUGUGGCCUUAAACCUGCUUCUGUCCGCCGCGCCUUGUCUCUCUCCUGAUAGGCUCCUGCCGAUCUGUCUCUCUGCCGAUUGGCUCCUGCCGAUCUGUCUCUCUCCCGAUAGGCUCCUGCCAAUCCAUCUCUGCUCUGGUUGUCUCUUAGCGCUGACCAAUGACGGGAGUUCUGACGUCUGGUACACGCCCGUCCUCACCCUGCCGCCACGGCAGAGUUCCGAGGCCACGCCCUCACGGUUCUGUCCCAGCUUGGAAUCUCGGAGGUCCCGGAACCUCCCGGAAUCUUCAGGUGUGGAGUUGGUUUCAACCCGAUCCACAUCUAGCCUGGCUCGGUUGGGGCGCGAGGGCGAUUUGGAUUUACGAGAGCGAGGAGGAGCAGGAGCAGCAGGAGGGAGUUUCGAGAGAGGUGGUGGCGCCCUCUUCUGGUGAGAUUUGAAACGGCCUCCUCUGUCCCUCUCUCUCCUCUGGUCUCCGUCUCUCCUGUCUUGGCCUGAAGGGUGAAGGGUGAAGGGUGAAGGGACAUGGUGCUUUUAACCGUUGAUGCAAACACACAAAAAACACCACACACAUGAAAG